This is an unclassified non-coding RNA of Erinaceus europaeus (western European hedgehog), 274 nucleotides long. Its record names the gene 7SK. It matches the Rfam family "7SK RNA". From Rfam's summary of the family: 7SK was discovered as an abundant small nuclear RNA in the mid-70s but a possible function has only recently been suggested. The record is from Ensembl. Lineage: Eukaryota; Metazoa; Chordata; Mammalia; Eulipotyphla; Erinaceidae.
GGAUGUGAGGGCAAUCUGGAUAUCACCCCAUUCAUCUCCAGGGUUGAUUCAGCUGAUCUGGAUGGCUAGGGAAAUAUCCCCUUCCUUCCUACUGCUCUAUGUGCAUACCUCCUGAAGCUGCGAGCUCAGUGGAAAAGAACAGCUUUCCCUAAAUAGAGAUGUGCCUGUCUUUAUUUGAGGCUAUGUGAGUAGCUGGGAUCUCCUGCUAGAACUUCCCUACAAACUCUCAAGAUUAAAGAAUCAGUGAUCAUUUUGCCAAAGAAAUACAAAGUAU